AGAGUUUGAUCAUGGCUCAGGACGAACGCUGGCGGCGCGCCUAAAACAUGCAAGUCGAACGAGAAGCCCGGGCUUGCCCGGGUGGACAGUGGCGAACGGGUGAGUAACACGUGAGGAACCUGCCCCGAAGACCGGGACAACGUCGGGAAACCGUUGCUAAUACCGGAUGCCCUCGAAGAAUCGCAUGGUUCAUCGAGGAAAUGGAUUCCGCUUCGGGAUGGCCUCGCGGCCUAUCAGCUUGUUGGUGAGGUAACGGCUCACCAAGGCUUCGACGGGUAGCUGGUCUGAGAGGAUGUCCAGCCACACUGGGACUGAGACACGGCCCAGACUCCUACGGGAGGCAGCAGUUAGGAAUCUUGCGCAAUGGACGAAAGUCUGACGCAGCGACGCCGCGUGCGGGAUGAAGGCCCUCGGGUUGUAAACCGCUUUCAGCAGGGACGAAAUUGACGGUACCUGCAGAAGAAGCCCCGGCCAACUACGUGCCAGCAGCCGCGGUAAUACGUAGGGGGCUAGCGUUGUCCGGAUUUAUUGGGCGUAAAGAGCUCGUAGGUGGUUCGGUAAGUCGGAUGUGAAAUCUCCAGGCUCAACCUGGAGGGGUCAUUCGAUACUGCCGUGACUAGAGUUCGGUAGAGGAGUGUGGAAUUCCUGGUGGAGCGGUGAAAUGCGCAGAGAUCAGGAGGAACACCCGUAGCGAAGGCGGCACUCUGGGCCGAUACUGACACUGAGGAGCGAAAGCGUGGGGAGCGAACAGGAUUAGAUACCCUAGUAGUCC
RNAcentral lists this ribosomal RNA (772 nucleotides) under uncultured bacterium. RNAcentral's name for it is "bacterial SSU rRNA". It matches the Rfam family "Bacterial small subunit ribosomal RNA", at positions 8 to 796 of the family's 1533-position model. The record is from RNAcentral.